CACGUAGGGUGCGAGCGUUGUCCGGAAUUAUUGGGCGUAAAGAGCUCGUAGGCGGUCUGUCGCGUCGGCUGUGAAAACUCGGGGCUCAACUCCGAGCUUGCAGUCGAUACGGGCAGGCUAGAGUUCGGCAGGGGAGACUGGAAUUCCUGGUGUAGCGGUGAAAUGCGCAGAUAUCAGGAGGAACACCGGUGGCGAAGGCGGAUCUCUGGGCCGAUACUGACGCUGAGGAGCGAAAGCGUGGGGAGCGAACAGG
This 253-nucleotide ribosomal RNA is filed under the name uncultured bacterium. RNAcentral's name for it is "partial 16S ribosomal RNA". It matches the Rfam family "Bacterial small subunit ribosomal RNA", at positions 524 to 776 of the family's 1533-position model. The record is from RNAcentral.